UAUUUGAAAAAAAAAAAAAAAAGUUUAUGAGUUUGAACAUCAAAUAUCUUGUCUUUGUAGUGCAUUCAAUUGAAUAUGGGUUGAAAAGGAUUUGCAAAUCAUUGUAUUCCGUUUAUAUUUACAUCUAACACAAUUUCCCAACUCAUAUGAAAACGGGGUUUGUACAUUCACAAGUUUCAAUUCAGCAGGAAGCCGGAAGUGUUGCGCCAUAGCCAGAGCGGGAUAGCGGAGAAGGAGAAAAAAACGUUGAUUAGGUGGCAGAUAUAUAUUUGCAAGGCCAUUUUCAAGAAGGAUAUUCAAAGAGAAUCUACAUAUGGUGAGGCCAUGUCAGCCAACUCUGGAAGCCAGCUCAGCCGUUCCAGCGAUGAGAUAGGGAAAUGCUCGGCAUCUCCACUCGCAUAAGACGAGGGGUACCUCUGGCUUAUACGGCUUCGAAUAGGUCUUUCUAAUUGACUUCCUUCUCUCUGCAAGUGUUCUCCAGCUCCUGUUGAAGAAAGGAGAGCUGCUCCAGAAGCGAGGGGAGCAUCUUCGCCUUAGCUUGGGCGUGCUGCUCAGAUCGAUGAAGGUUUUCUAUCUCUUUGCAGUGUCGUUCCUGCUCCAUUGCUUGGGUCUUUGCUGCAGCAUUCAUUCUUUCGCCGAGCUCGCUGACUUCUUUGUGCUGCAGGGGCAAGCAAACACAUGGUGUGCAUGUGAUGUGACGACAACACCCGAUUACGACGCAUUUCAAAUCAAGUUUUCUCUGUUUUUCUUACGGAAGACAUUGGUAUUUCACGCACAUAUUUGACAUCAUUCAGGGUGGGAAAAUAAGGGAUACUGUGGCUGCUACCGGGUGACCUACGGCACAAAUUAAACGCUUGAGGGGUAUUGUGAGGCAUUUAUAAAACAAUUUAUUGAGCUGUGUUCCCAAUAGUUCUAAAUUGCACUAAAUUGCAUGACUACAAUUUGCAAACUCAAUGGGCUGCAAACUCAAAUAUUCACUGACAUUAAAUACCUAAAUUUACAAGUACCUUAAUUUACGGUUAUUUUGAGAUACGAGGUGUCUCUAAAGUUUUGUUAUGCUUUAAAUUGCGAAGAUAAUUUAAGUUACAAGCAGUUAGAUGGCGGAGCUAAUGUUACAGUGAAGACCAUAUGAUCUGUCAGAAAAAAAUCAAGUCUAACAUGCCAGCAUUGGCUUGGGGUGUCAAACUCAUUUUAGCUCAGGGGCCGCAUGGAGGAAAAUCUGUGCACACGCGCGCCGGAUUAUGAAAAUCAUGGCAUUAAAACUAAAAAAUAAACACAAAUUCAGAUUGUUUGCUUUGUCUUACUUUGGCCAAAAAUAGAAAAAAAAAAAUCUGAAAAUAUUACAAGAGACAUUAAAAAAAAAAAUACCAGCAGCGGUAAAGGUUAGAUCCAUGAAGGAAAGAAGAAAGUGAAUGAAUGUUUAUAACUGAAAGAAUUUACAUCCAUUCAUUUUGUACCGCUUGUCCCUUUCGGGGGAUGCAUCAUUUUUUUUUUCUUUUGUAUUUUUAUUUAGAAUAAAUUAAGUAACAUUUAUGAAAACCUUUUUCAAAAACACAAUAUAGAAUGUGAGAUAUAGCAGGAUAAUGCAUACAUAUAUCAUUUGUUUUCAAAACGGUUACACAAAAGUAGACCCCAAAAAUGUACCGUGGGACCCAAUUUUUAUGACUUGAUGGGGUACCUGGGACCCCAUUUUGAAAAUUCCUAGUGCAAAAAAAGCUGCAGAGGGCUGUGGUCUGCGGGCCGGUUCUAAUACUAAUUAAAUAUCAUCCCAGGGGCCAUAGAUAAUUAUUGACUUUGACACAUAGUGCUUAUAGCUACAGAUCAAAAUAACUUUGUUUUCCAAGCGUUAGAAUUCAAACAUUUAGCUGCGGUCCAUCUCCCACCGACAUCCUGCUGCUGCUGAUGCUUGCUCCUCCAGCCGCAGCUCAGCUUAAUUUGCAAACCUGAAGCGGUUCUGCCACUACGAACCGGAAAUGUCCUUGCUGUCCUCGCUGUUCCCUAGUAACUCUCCCAGCACAUCGCCCUAAAAGCAUUGACUCUUCUCUACCACAUCAUGGAUUGUGGAUGCGAGCAGAACUAGAAAUAAAACAUCCAACUUUUUAACGCCAUUACUUGCUGCUAUCUUCUGCUGCUGUCUUACUGAGCAGCCUUUCCUUUUCAGUAACUUGGCUUAUUGUACAUGUUGGACCAAAUGAGACGGCAAGACGCCAAUCAUAACAAACUUAGAAAGGAGUUUGAAGUCCUCUUGAGUCUGCUGGAAGAGGUAAAUGCUGUGCAAUAUUAAUAAUGUAUUACAAAAUACAGGUGAUGCAUCGUUAAUGUGCAUGCUGGCCGUGGGAAUUUUGCAUUACGUAUCCACCCAGUUACAAAUUCAUAAAACAAUAGUUUUUUUAAUGUUCCCUGUUUGCAUUACUAUUGUAUUGUUUUUCAAACAAUAUUUCCUAUCUUAACAGUAUGUUUGAGUUUUUAAAAGGCAGGGCAGCUGGGACAAGCUCCAGCCUCCAUCCGCGACACCGAGAGGGACAAGCGGUAAAAAAAUGGAUGGAUGUUUGUGAGAUAAUAAAAUUGUGUUAUUUUGGGAGGGCAAAGCAAGGAUUAAAUGUAUUCUAACUAAUUUCAAUGGGCAGGGCUGCUUUAAAAUAUGAGUAUUCCGAGUUACGGACGUAAUGGGCUAGUAGGUCGAAGUACUGCUGUAAUUUAAAAAAGGACCUACAACAGGAAGUUCAAAUUGGUUGCUAGAUAGAUAAUAGCUUACUUCCUUUGCACUGGCGAGAUGCCUCUAAGCCAGGCACAAACCACAAAAUCCCAGGUUGUGACUCGACAAUAUUUCCUCAAUCCAUUGUGAUCAGCCCUGCUAUCCCAUCAUACAAUAUAAUACUAUAAUAAUAUAAUACUAAAACUCUCACCUGCUCGUCUAUCUUGUGUUGCAACUGCAUAAUCUUGUUCUCCAUGCCAACGUUGAGAUUCUUGAAAUGCUCCACGGAGCGCGCGUUUACUUUGAGCUUCUUCAGUUCUUUCUUGGCCAUCAUGCGUCGCACACAGCUCUGCAGCAGGAUGAUGUUGGCCCGAGUGCGUUGAUAAUGCUUCCUGGCCAGCCAGCCUUUUGCCCACUUCUGAAUAACUAAAGCCUUUUGCUCAUACACCAACUGGGAAGAGAUGACAAGACAAACUUCAAAACUUUGACACAACUAACUACAUGAGUAUUGGGACACUAGAGCAACACGAAGUAACAAUUUCCCUUGUGGAUCAUUAAAGUUUGUCUAAGUCUAAAAAAUUGAUACAAGAUGAGUCAAUAGUCCACUCCCUUAUAACUUCCACUAUUUUGGGAAGAAUUUUUAAUAUAUUCUGCAAAGCGUCAUUUGUGAGGUCAAAGAUCUUAAUGAAGGUAUGGCUCACCAUCACUGUUGAAGGUCAUGCCAAUGGUGUUUGACAGGGUUGAGUUCAAAACAUUAUAUUUUUUAAAAUCAGACUACCCCCCCCCUCCCUUUGGAAUUUGGAUUAAUCAUGAUUAUUCGGGUAUUACUUGCUUGCAUAAUUUAAAUGAUCUAGCCCAAUAUUUGGAUAGAAAUGCGAUUUUAUUGUCAGAAUGUCAUACAGGAACAUCUUUAAAUGUUUUACUUGAAUACAAGUCAUUUUUUGUUGAAAACUUGGUAACAGCCGGCCGGGGUCUCCUCAAUCAUCUUUGUGCUGGCGUAUGCAUUGACCAUAUAACAACCAUUGACGUCUUUCAGGUCAUCAUAGGGACGGCGUGGCGCAGUGGGAGAGUGGCCGUGCGCAACCCGAGGGUCACUGGUUCAAAUCCCACCUAGAACCAACCUCGUCACGUCCGUUGUGUCCUGAGCAAGACACUUCACCCUUGCUCCUGAUGGGUGCUGGUGGGCGCCUUGCAUGGCAGCUCCCUCCAUCAGUGUGUGAAUGUGUGUGUGAAUGGGUAAAUGUGGAAGUAGUGUCAAAGCGCUUUGAGUACCUUGAAGGUAGAAAAGCGCUAUACAAGUACAACCCAUUUAUAACCCAUUUAUCCACAGUUCAGGUAACAGAGCGUGAAUGGUCAAAAUAAAAUGUGUGAAUAAUCUGUGUUUAUACAUGAUUAAUGCAAUAUUUUUUUGUGAUUAAUCACGUGUUAAGUUGUUAAAAUUGACAGCUCUAGUCUUAAUACUUCUGUCCAGACAGUACGUUGUCAAACCUUGCAUUGUUUGAUUAGGUUUGAUUGUUUUAAUGUCAUUUUUGUAAUUGUUUUAAUCGUUAACUGAAAUUUUCAUCAAAGUGUACAGUUUUGAAUGAUGACAUUGUCUGAUCAAUUCAAUUAAUUACCUUAUAGUAGAGCUUUCUGGCUGCAUAUGUCCUGAAGAAGCACUGAAUGACAACAGAUGCAGAGCGUAGUUUGUGGUAGCGUGCCCUUGCCGCCCACAUUCGAACAUUGCGCUGAAUGACAACAGCUGCUCUUGUUCUCCGCAGACAAUUAACAUAACUGCAAUCACAAAGGACCAUUUUAAAUCACUUUUUUUAUAUUUUGCUUGUUGUUAAUCUCUUGGCUCACCAGCGUGCCUGGUGACCCCGCACAUGUCUCUGUAUGGUGUUAGCAGAUUGUUUCAUCCUCAGGUAUUUUUUACGUGCCGACCAACAGCGUAUAGUCUUCUGGAUGCUGACACAAGCCCUACGCAGCUGCUCAGAACGUAGCUUCUCCAAGAAGGCCACUUGGCCAGCUCUGAAGAAGAUCUUAUUUUUACCAAACUGAUACAGGUUCUGGUCCUGAGAACCAAAACAACAUAGCAUUUAUGAUAUUUAUACAACAAAUGAUAUAAAACAUGGGAAAGAGAUUCCAUGAUAAUUAACACCUGGAUGAGCUUUUUUAGGACAUUUCUGCAGGUCUCUUUUCCGUCUGGGAGGACAUCCAUUUGCUUCAUGAGGACCCGAUACCGACUGAAGAAUUCCUGAGCUGCUAAGAAGCUACCUGGAUGGAAAUCCUGCUGCCGAAAUUCGGAUUGUUUCGAGGAUGCCACAAGCUCGCAGCUGCUGCACUGCCCUCUCAGGGUCCAAGCUUAAUGAAGCCGUCGCACUGGUACUCCACCUGGGCACAAAAAACCACGUCACACGGUUCGGGGUGGAAAAAGAGCAAAGGUCAUAAUAAUAACCAUUCUGAAAUUGCCAGACAAAAUACUUGCAUAAUACAAAUAUUAUGGUGAACACAGUAAACGUUGCCAUUGGCAAUAGAACUAAAUGGCACUCUUUUCAUUAGAACGUUUGAGUCAUCAUUUCAUUCCAACUCUGUUUAUUCUGCAAAGGGGAAAUGAUGCAAUGUAUGGAACAAUUUUUUGAAGAGGACUCCAAAAUGAAUUAAUAGAAUGUUUUAUUUCGUCUCUAAGUAGGUAGCACACGCAAAUGGUAAGAAGUGUCUCUAAGUACCUUGUCUGCAAAGUGGUGGAUGAUGAAAGCUGUGUUUGAUAACCUGGGUUUGUCAAAGUGAUCGUUCUGCUUCAACAGGGUGUUGUACAUUUUCUGGGACCAUGAGCCAUCAGAGCCUUGGGGCAUCUAUGGAAACAGGCAGAAAUGACCAAUCACCUCCUGCCUUACUCUGUAUCUGCUCUUGACAAAUGUGCAGGCUUCUCCUUGUGGAAAAGACUUAUAAAAACAAGAGCGCAAAGGAAGUACGGACCGCUGCCAAGGGCUAAAUAUUGUAUGUUCUGAAUAGUUUGAAGGAGGUUGGUUACCUUUCAUUCAGAGAUCAUCUGAGAGUAGAGAUUGAUCAUUACACAGGAGAAACAAAUGAGAAAUACAUUGGCAUAGUGCGCAAAGUUAAUUUAUUUCAGGAAAUCAAAACUAAAGAGACUUUAACGGCUGACAAGACCCUGCAAAAAUAAAAGCAGUUAAUUUGCUUACAAUGUUGAAUGUUUCACAAUAUUAAUAUUUCAUGAAAUAGUAAUUCUGGAAUUUUUAUUAGUUAUAGGUUAUAAUAAUCACAAUUAAUAAAAAAUGAGUGGACCAUGCAAUACAUUUAUGAAAUAGUUCACCGUGUACACCACUAUAUAGUAUAUUCGUUUAACGUUUUGAUUUUUAAUAUUGAAAACAAAUGUCAACAUUUUUGAGAAUGUAAUCAUAAUUAUUAGAAGAUUUUAACUCUAUUUCAUUCCAUGGUAUUUUAAUAUUGCUGCUAAAUAUGGCAUCUAGAUCAGAUUUGGUUAAAUCUUGGUUGAAAAAGAUUUAAAAGAUUUAACAAAGAUGUGCUUUUUUAAAUUCUCACAUUAUAGAAAGGGUAAAAAAAUUACAUUGUUGACAAUUAUCAAUGUUUGCAUUCUCUAUUAUUAACAAUAAAUAAAUUACCGGUAUUUAAAAACAUCUACAAUGAUAAAGUACCCCUCAUGUAUUGCUGUUAAUUGGUUCCGAUUAGACUGCUAUUAAUGAAUUUCCGCUAAGUAAAAACCAUUAUUUAUAAAUUAAAUGUAGUUUUAUUUUAAGUUUACUAGCUUUAAAAUACAUUUUUAACAUUAUGAGAGCCCUCUAGACAUGAAAUAACACCUUUUGGUCACCUUUACUUUUUUAAUCCUUCCACAAUACAGAUCUGAUGGGUUUGGUCCCAACUAGUGGCCAAUACUACUGCAGUAUUUAAUUCAGUUUAGCCAUUUUAUGCUUAAAAAUGCUUAAUUUAGGGAAAAUAUUAGACAAAAUAUGCUUUAAAAAACAAAAAACAUACGCAAUGUGGUGGAGACGUAAUAUUAGAAGCACGAUGUGGCGAGAGACGCCUGAACAUCUAAACACUGUAUCAAACGGAAGUCAGUUAAGAUUCGUCAAAAAAGGUAACAAUUAUUUUACUGUACUUUACACUCCUCAUCCAGAAGGUCCAGGAUGCCCAGCUUGGCCUCGAUGAGAUUGAUGCAUGGCUGGUUGUCAUAGAAAUCAAUCAGCGUCCACGGAAUCUGUUCUUUCAUGUACUCUUCUUGCUCCAGUUUGAAGACAUGCUGCAGGCGUACAGCACAUAGCGAUCAUGUAAUCAAUGUAAAAAAUAUUGGUUUUAUUGGACAAUAGAAGACAAAGAAUAGGGAAUAUACCAGGUUGAAUUGCUGCUGGAGCUUUUCGUUGGCAUAGUUAAUGCAAAACUGCUCGAAGCUGUUAAUGUCAAAUGUUUCAAACCUGGUAAAAGAUGACAAAAUGUUAAGAAAACGUGGAAAAUGUACAAACAUGAAGAUGAUAACAUACCCAUAAAUAUCCAGCACACCGAUGAAUGAGUGUUGUUUAACAGCAGAUUUGAGCACAUUGUUUAUACAGCCAACAAUCCAGCUGAAAAUUCUGGCGUAGAUGUGUUUGGCGAGGGCGUCGCGACCAUUUACUGCAUUUGUCUUGGAGACGCACUUGACGUAUGUUUCUGUGGUUGCUUUGAGUUUCCUAUGGCAGAGCCAGUGGGCCAUUUCUUUACAGGGCACCCCCAUCAACUCACAGAACACCACCAAGUGGG
This is a long non-coding RNA of Nerophis ophidion (straightnose pipefish), 7447 nucleotides long. RefSeq lists it as uncharacterized. The transcript has 4 exons. Lineage: Eukaryota; Metazoa; Chordata; Actinopteri; Syngnathiformes; Syngnathidae. The record is from RefSeq and is a predicted model, not a curated record.